AUUGAACGCUGGCGGCAUGCCUUACACAUGCAAGUCGAACGGCAGCACGGGUGCUUGCACCUGGUGGCGAGUGGCGAACGGGUGAGUAAUACAUCGGAACAUGUCCUGUAGUGGGGGAUAGCCCGGCGAAAGCCGGAUUAAUACCGCAUACGAUCUACGGAUGAAAGCGGGGGACCUUCGGGCCUCGCGCUAUAGGGUUGGCCGAUGGCUGAUUAGCUAGUUGGUGGGGGAAAGGCCUACCAAGGCGACGAUCAGUAGCUGGUCUGAGAGGACGACCAGCCACACUGGGACUGAGACACGGCCCAGACUCCUACGGGAGGCAGCAGUGGGGAAUUUUGGACAAUGGGCGAAAGCCUGAUCCAGCAAUGCCGCGUGUGUGAAGAAGGCCUUCGGGUUGUAAAGCACUUUUGUCCGGAAAGAAAUCCUUGGCCCUAAUACGGUCGGGGGAUGACGGUACCGGAAGAAUAAGCACCGGCUAACUACGUG
This 486-nucleotide ribosomal RNA is filed under the name uncultured bacterium. RNAcentral describes it as "partial 16S ribosomal RNA". It matches the Rfam family "Bacterial small subunit ribosomal RNA", at positions 30 to 507 of the family's 1533-position model. The record is from RNAcentral.